GAGGAUGUCACCCACCGGAAUGGACCCGUCCGAUCUUAGGGGGCGCAGUGGGAUAUUGCCAAUGGGGAAACCUGAGCAGCCUACGCGUUAUAAGAAGCCUUUGGGUGUAAAUAUUUCAGUUUGAGAAAGGGUGUCUUAUUAGCGCAUCUCUGACGUUAGCACAGAGAAGCACCGGUAAAUCUGUGCCAGCGCCGCGGUAUACGGAGGGGCGAGCGUUAUCUGAAUAUUGUGCGUAAAGCGCAUGCAGGUGUUCAUUAAGUCAGAUAUGAAAACCCGGGGUCAACCUCUGAACUGCAUUUAAACUGGUGAACUAGAGUACGUAGAGGGGGGAGAAUUUCAGGUGUAGCGGUGUAAUGCGUAGAGAUCUGAAGGAUACCACUGGGAAGGCGGCCCCCUGGACAGAUACUGACACUCUGAUGCGAAAGCGUGGGGAGCAAACACGAUUAGAUACCCUGGUAGUCCACGCCGUAAACGAUGUCUACUUGGAGGUUGUGGCCCUGAGCCGUGGCUUUCGGAGCUAACGCGUUAAGUAGACCGCCUGGGGAGUACGGUCGCACGAUUAAAACUCAAAUGAAUUGACGGGGGCCCGCACACGCGCUGGAGCACGUGGUUUAAUUCGAUGCAACGCGAAGAACCUUACCUACUCUUGACAUCCAGAGAAGCCAGCGGAGACGCACGUGUGCCCUCGGGAGCUCUGAGACACGUGCUGCAUGGCUGUCGUCAGCUCGUGUUGUGAAAUGUUGGGUUAAGUCCCGCAACGAGCGCAACCCCUAUCUCUGUUUGCCAGCGAGUAAUGUCGGGAACUCCACGGAGACUGCCGGUGAUAAACCGGAGGAAGGUGGGGAGGACGUCAAGUCAUCAUGGCCCCUACGAGUAGGGGUACACACGUGCUACAAUGGCGCAUACAGAGGGCGGCGAACUUGCGAGAGUGAGAGAAUCUCAAAAAAUGCGUCGUAGUCUGGAUUGGAGUGUGCAACUCGACUCCAUGAAGUCUGAAUCGCUAGUGUUAUUUGAUCUGAGUGGUGUGGGGAGAACGUUCCCCUAGAGUGUUUACCCCCUCUCUAUAUGGGGUAACAACACCCCUAUAGUUGUUUUUGGGA
RNAcentral lists this ribosomal RNA (1100 nucleotides) under Vibrio chagasii. RNAcentral describes it as "bacterial SSU rRNA". It matches the Rfam family "Bacterial small subunit ribosomal RNA", at positions 296 to 1533 of the family's 1533-position model. Lineage: Bacteria; Pseudomonadati; Pseudomonadota; Gammaproteobacteria; Vibrionales; Vibrionaceae. The record is from RNAcentral.